RNAcentral lists this unclassified non-coding RNA (450 nucleotides) under Hevea brasiliensis (rubber tree). The record is from RNAcentral. Lineage: Eukaryota; Viridiplantae; Streptophyta; Magnoliopsida; Malpighiales; Euphorbiaceae.
UAGCUUUUGAGAUGGAGUUAGGCAUGUUCAUAUCAUUUGGUAUCAGAGUCUCACUUUGUAUAGGUCGGUGGAACAUGUACAAAGGUUUCUUGACAUUCUUCGGGAGAAGACAAGGUGAACGAGUCAUGACCCCGGUUACUUCACGAGGACGUUCAAUCUAAAGGAGUCGGGAAUGAUGCUUCCCACAUCGGUUCUGCAAGGAGGUCUUGGGUGUUAUAUAUAUGGGUUUGCAAACCUCCCCUUCUGAGCUAGCUUUUGAGGUGGAGUCAGGCAAGUUCAUAUUAUUUGGUAUCAGAGCCUCACUAUGUAUGGGUCGGUGAGCCAUGUACAAAGGUCUUGGGUGUUAUAUGGGUUUGCAAACCUCUCCUUAUAAGCUAGCUUUUGAGGUGGAGGUUCAUAUCAUUUGGUACCAGAGUCUCUCUCAAUGUGUAUGAUGUGUAUGAGUCGGUG